GUGUUCGCAAUGAGCUGUUGUGAUCUAUACUCCGUUGGAGCGUGGUACAUUAUAUCGUUCACAUUUAACGAAGUAGGCAAUGCUGACAGAUAACCCCUAAAAUUUCGGGAAUAAUAUAGAUAUAUAAAUAGCGAUUCAAUCACCUACAUAAGUGGAUAAACAUCAAUGUAAAAUAACUGAAAUGAAGAAAACUGAGAAAGUUGAUGAACCGAGUGAGUUACAAAUAGUACAUGAUAAGGCAGUAAAUUUCAUCACAAAUGAGAAAGGGCAAGUCCUAGUCCUCGAUAAUGGUAAAGCCGAAUGGUACAACACAGAGUCGACGCCUCCACCAUCACCCGAUCCAUCAACAAAUGUCAAUACUGCCAAUGUUGCUGAGUCAAUGGAGGAAAAAGUGAAGAGUACUAAAAAUACGGUUAGAACAUCCUCUACAUCAAAAAAGAUUCGAUGUGGGUGGUCACGUGCUCAGACAUUGGCUCUGAUCAAUUUUUAUGUCAGCCAUCAAAAAGAGUCCGUAAGCACUACUGUGAAAAAUGAUAUGGUGUGGAAAGAUUUUGAGCGCGAGCAAGCAAAUCAAGAUGGGAGUCAUGACCGUUAACAAAUCAAAGAUAAAUGGGCAGCUUUGAAGGCAGCUUUUUAUAAGGCUCUGGACAAUAGAUCAAAUAAAUCAACAGGUGCAGCGCCUAUUUCUUUUGAUUAUUUUGAUGAGAUAUAUAAGAUUUUCAAAGACGAUCCUAGAGCAAAACCUAUUGCGAUCGCUUCAUCUUUCAGAGGAGCAAAGAAUAUAUCUCCUAAGUUACGAGACAGUCAUAACUCAGAAGACGAAGAAGAUGAGAGUAUCAUUGAGAAUUCAGGUGCUGAAAAGGAUGGGCCAGGAUUCCAACAACUUCCAAAAUUGAAAAAAACUAAGUUCGAAACGCAUCUUGCUGCGCUGGAAGUUGAACCAAGGAACAGGUCGGAAGAUAUCCAACAACGUCAUGCCGAUUCCAUGGCAGUACAGAGAGGUUGCCUUGAUGUUCUCAAAGAUAUGACAAAUGUAGUCAAACAAUUGGUUAGCCAUAAGAGGAACAGAGGAGAAGAGGACUCUGAAGAGGAUCAUAAGUAACACUUUAGACAAUGUUUCCACUUUUAUAGCUUUCCAUUUGGUUUACUUUUGUUUUGUUUAAACCUACAUACUUGAUAAAUGUCAUGAGAAUAAUUUUGUAGUGAAUAUGUAAAUCAAGAUCAGUAAAUUUCCGUUCGAUCAUUUUUUUUUUAUAUCUGAGAAUUCCAAGGAAUUAGCAAAUUCUCAUGAAGACUCUUUCUUAGCUCUCACUCUAGUCCACAAACAAGGUCCUUAUAAGGACACGUCAAUUUCCCUAAGAUUCAACGGUAUUCAUGAAAACCUUAUACCGAAAAUAAUGUGGCUGAUCUCGUCUUACCAUUUCACUUCUGAAUUUUAUUAGUUGGUUAAAACUGUUGUAAUUCACGAAUAUUAGAAGACUGAUUCGUAUUACAAUUUAGUUUUAUGAGGAAUAAUAGUGAUAAACCCGCCUAGAUACAGUAAGUCAGUAGAUAUAUCGAUGGAAGUGCAAUUGUCAGUGAUAUUACUCAUAGCCGCUGAAAAUAUAAGUUGAUAUAGUUAUAGGGCACUACGGGUACUGUAUAUUGUAAAGUAUAGAAUACUCAUAGGAGGAAUCUCCUAUAGAUAGAUAUAGGAGAAUAUAAUAUCUAUACUAUAUAGAUAAUCUCUAUAGUAUAGAAUAUCCAUAGAAGGAAUCUCCUAUGGGUAUUCUAUACUUUUCAUAUAACUGUGUUCUUUCGGCAUCAAUUUCCAAGUUAUUAUAAUGAGAUUCCAAUUUGAAUUGGAAAAUGAGUGCCUACCAUUAUUUUCUAUCCCUCUAUAAGAGCUUUAGUAUUCUAUUCAC
Molecule: long non-coding RNA, 1904 nt
Organism: Diachasma alloeum
Lineage: Eukaryota; Metazoa; Arthropoda; Insecta; Hymenoptera; Braconidae
Exons: 3
Source: RefSeq, a predicted model, not a curated record